AGUCGAACGGGGUAUCAGGGUAGCAAUACCCGAAGUACCUAGUGGCGAACGGGUGCGUAACACGUGAGCAACCUACCCCAGAGCUUGGAAUAACACCGGGAAACCGGUGCUAAUACCGAAUACUCUCAUUGAGCCGCAUGACGCGAUGAGGAAAGAUUUAUCACUCUGGGACGGGCUCGCGGCCUAUCAGCUUGUUGGUGAGGUAACGGCUCACCAAGGCUACGACGGGUAGCUGGUCUGAGAGGACGAUCAGCCACACUGGGACUGAGACACGGCCCAGACUCCUACGGGAGGCAGCAGUGGGGAAUAUUGCGCAAUGGGCGAAAGCCUGACGCAGCAACGCCGCGUGGAGGAUGAAGGCUUUCGGGUUGUAAACUCCUUUCAGCAGGGACGAAACUGACGGUACCUGCAGAAGAAGCCCCGGCUAACUACGUGCCAGCAGCCGCGGUGAGACGUAGGGGGCAAGCGUUGUCCGGAUUUAUUGGGCGUAAAGAGCUCGUAGGCGGCUUGGCAAGCCGGAUGUGAAAUCUCCAGGCUUAACCUGGAGUCGCCAUCCGAUACUGCUAUGGCUAGAGUCCGGUAGAGGAUCGUGGAAUUCCUGGUGUAGCGGUGAAAUGCGCAGAUAUCAGGAGGAACACCAACGGCGAAGGCAGCGAUCUGG
Molecule: ribosomal RNA, 661 nt
Filed under: uncultured Ferrimicrobium sp.
Lineage: Bacteria; Bacillati; Actinomycetota; Acidimicrobiia; Acidimicrobiales; Acidimicrobiaceae
Description: bacterial SSU rRNA
Rfam family: Bacterial small subunit ribosomal RNA
Source: RNAcentral